AGGCGACGAUCCGUAGCUGGUCUGAGAGGAUGAUCAGCCACAUCGGGACUGAGACACGGCCCGAACUCCUACGGGAGGCAGCAGUGGGGAAUAUUGGACAAUGGGCGAAAGCCUGAUCCAGCAAUGCCGCGUGUGUGAAGAAGGCCUUCGGGUUGUAAAGCACUUUUGUCCGGAAAGAAAUCUCCUGGGUUAAUACCCUGGGUGGAUGACGGUACCGGAAGAAUAAGCACCGGCUAACUACGUGCCAGCAGCCGCGGUAAUACGUAGGGUGCAAGCGUUAAUCGGAAUUACUGGGCGUAAAGCGUGCGCAGGCGGUUAUGCAAGACAGGUGUGAAAUCCCCGGGCUCAACCUGGGAACUGCACUUGUGACUGCAUGACUAGAGUGCGUCAGAGGGAGGUGGAAUUCCGCGUGUAGCAGUGAAAUGCGUAGAGAUGCGGAGGAACACCGAUGGCGAAGGCAGCCUCCUGGGAUGACACUGACGCUCAUGCACGAAAGCGUGGGGAGCAAACAGGAUUAGAUACCCUGG
This 527-nucleotide ribosomal RNA is filed under the name Heterosigma akashiwo. RNAcentral's name for it is "partial Bacterial small subunit ribosomal RNA". It matches the Rfam family "Bacterial small subunit ribosomal RNA", at positions 271 to 790 of the family's 1533-position model. Lineage: Eukaryota; Raphidophyceae; Chattonellales; Chattonellaceae. The record is from RNAcentral.